AAUUAGAGAACUUUUCUGGAAACAGGCAUAAAUAUUUGGUAUACUUAAAUAUAUUAUUUAAUUCUCUCCAGAACUAACUUGUAAAAAUAAAAGUGAAGAAAACAUUAGGCAGCUUUUCAAUUUAUUUUAGGUCUUAAAUUGAGAUAAAUAAUCAGAUACACGACAAAGCAACUUUGGUAGUCGCUGGAUGAUGCAGACACCUGUGCAGUCGGGGCUGUAAAGGAAUUUUUAUUAGGCUGAUGGAAAACCAGUAUUGAAUUCAGUUGCUGAAUUUCAACCAAUUUAAAUAAAUUAGCUGACCUAUAAGUGACGUAACCCUAAAUUUCCCAAUGCAGCUGCCAGAAAUCUAUUUUCCAAAUGAAACAACAGAUGGUUUUGAACAAUACUGCAAUAUAGCAAUUUUCAGUUAUUCCAAAGCGUUUUUCUCUUGCUAAAAUUAUAAAAAUAAUUGAGAAAAUAAUUUUCAGAUUUUUUCUGAAAGAUUGCUAUUUUCAAAGUGAAAGCAAAGUUUAAUAUCCUAGUGAUGUUUUUAGCAUUAUCUUCAGAAAUUGCUCUAUUUGCUAGUUUUUAUUUAUCUAAAACAACACAUGGCAGAGUGUAACCUUGCCCUCAUUUUAGAACUAAUUUAAUGCUCUUGCAGUGCUCGCAAGCACUUCAAGAUGUAUCUUUCCAUGUGAUAAUGUCCAACUCACAGUAUGCAUUUAGUUAAAAACUUCAUCAUUCUGGAAGGAUGAGACCAACAGGCCAAUUAAGCCUGAUGUGAAAGAUAUUUAUAACCUAUAAACCUCUGUAAAUAAUUGAAGAACUGUUCGUUUCUUCAAAUACCACCAUGAACAAAGUAAAUAAAGUCCAUCCCGAAUGAGGCUAACCCCAAAAGAAGCUUAACCUUUCAGGUGAAACAUCCCAAGUUCCUUAAACUGUUCUUGGCAAAUAAAUGACUCCGCUUUCUACUCACUGAUUUAACUGAGAACAUCUGUAAGUCCUCAGCCUUCCUUUUCCAGCUCAUUACCUCUCCAGUGCCACACAGGAGAGUCUGGGCUUUGGAUCUGGGCUGCCCGGAGUUAGUACUGGCACCAUCACUUACGACCGGGGAGAUCCCGAGCAGGACAACCUAAAGCCUCUCAAUCUCAAAUUCCUCACAUUCCACCUGCUAACCAUACCGACCUGAUGGGGCUGCUGUGGACUAAAUACACUUAGUGAACACACACAAAGAACUUCCAACAUGCCAUGUAUGAGACUCCUGUCACAUCUCACAUAGACCUCAUCCGUGUUGUCUCAAGUAAAUUUCAGAAGGCGAGCCUUUGCUGUAAAUGUAAAGAAAAAUCCCAGAUUUGACUCAAUUGCUUGUUUCAGAAGACCAAAAGCUGUUCACCAGGGGACAGGGAUGCUCAGGCACUGGAGCAGGGACAGACAGGCCGCACGGGCAGCAGACAUCUGUGUGAAUGCAUUCUUAAGGUCAGAAGAGUGAAGGGACGAACAGCCUGAGUUUUGGUUUGGUCAUGAGACCUUUGAUUAGUCUCUAAAAUAUUCUGGGUCUCCGUUUCCUUAGCUGUUUCCGUGAGGAACUAAGGAUUCAGUCUGAUUCUCGUGAGGAGACGCUGCUAUCACACACAGACCCCACGAGUUGUUUUGGCGGGAAAGGCAGAAGCUGAGUGUGGCUGCAGAGACCGAGAGUCCCACAGUUGUCAGCCCACCUCCAGUGUGACCAU
This is a long non-coding RNA of Herpailurus yagouaroundi (jaguarundi), 1709 nucleotides long. RefSeq lists it as uncharacterized. The record is from RefSeq and is a predicted model, not a curated record. NCBI's taxonomy places the organism in Eukaryota, Metazoa, Chordata, Mammalia, Carnivora, Felidae. The transcript has 4 exons.